Molecule: long non-coding RNA, 1731 nt
Organism: Cyprinus carpio (common carp)
Lineage: Eukaryota; Metazoa; Chordata; Actinopteri; Cypriniformes; Cyprinidae
Source: Ensembl
AUGAGGGCAGUCCCCUCUGUGGUGCAGCGGGUCACACCGCAUUACACGGUGUCCGUCUCGCCUCAGUGCCCUCAGGAGAUCGGUCUGCCAACCCUGCCGGAGUUACAGGGCGCAGCGGUCUCCCGCGAGCACCACUCUCAGUUACCGCCCGGAAACGUAGCGGUGCUGAGAGGCUCGCCACCUCCGCGGAGGUCUCGAGAACAGCUAGUUCGGCCGUCUCCUGCCGGUCCGCCGUUACAGGGCACCGAACUAGCUGUUCUAAUUACACCAGAGGUCAGUCUCGAGAGACUGAUUCCCUUAGUAGAUCAUUUAGCAGCGUGGAAACUACUGCCAAAUGUGUCUCAAUGGGUCCUGCACACUGUAGAAAGAGGCUACAGAAUCCAGUUUGGUUCUCCUCCGCCUCGGUUCAACGGGAUUACUCCCACCCUGGUGGGCCCCGAGCAGGCUCUGGUUAUGGAACAGGAAGUGCUCACUCUCCUGAGGAAGGAGGCCAUCGAGAUGGUCCCUCCUCACGACAGAGGGUCCGGGUUCUACAGCCGGUACUUCAUAGUUCCAAAGAAGGAUGGAGGGUUGCGUCCCAUUUUAGAUCUGCGUCUGUUGAACCGCUCAGUCAAGCAGUUGAAGUUCAGGAUGCUCACUCUCAAACAGGUCGUGUCUCAGAUCAGGUCCGAGGACUGGUUUGUCACGAUAGAUCUAAAAGACGCAUACUUCCAUGUCUCCAUCCUUCCCAAUCACAGGAAGUUCCUGAGGUUCGCUUUUGGGGGAAAAGCGUACCAAUAUCGGGUUCUUCCCUUUGGCCUUGCACUCUCACCCCGCACUUUCACGAAGUGUGUGGAUGCAGCUCUGGCUCCGUUGCGACUCCAGGGCAUCCGCAUACUAAACUAUAUCGACGAUUGGUUGAUUUUAGCUCAGUCAGAGCAGGAGGCGAUUCGGCAUCGAGAUGUCGUUCUCGCCCAUAUGAAAGAGCUGGGGUUAAGACUAAACGCCAAGAAAAGUGUGCUUUCUCCAUUACAGAGGACCACUUAUCUGGGCGUGGUGUGGGAUUCGACCACGAUGCAGGCACGUAUGUCACCUGCUCGGAUCGAGUCGAUCCUCACCGCAGUCGCGAGAGUGAGAGAAGGCCGGUCACUCACUGUCAAGCAGUUUCAGAAACUGCUGGGUCUGAUGGCAGCUGCGUCCAACGUGAUACCUAUUGGCCUGCUGUACAUGAGACCCCUACAGUGGUGGCUCAAGACCAAGGGGUUCUCCCCGAGGGGGAACCCACUUCGCAUGAUCAAGGUCACGCGGCGCUGCCUACGUGCCUUGGACAUGUGGAGGAAACCUUGGUUCUUGUCUCAGGGCCCGGUGCUGGGAGCUCCAUGUCGCCGCGUGACGCUAGCGACGGAUGCAUCCCUCACUGGCUGGGGUGCGGUCAUGAGUGGCCACCCUGCCCGCGGUCUGUGGAGUGGUCGCCAUCUGACAUGGCACAUAAACUGCCUGGAGAUGCUGGCCGUGCUUCGAGCUCCUGGACCUGAGAGAUCAUCAUGUGUUGGUGCGCACCGACAACACAGCGGUGGUCUCUUACAUCAACCACCAAGGAGGUCUGCGCUCACACCGUUUGUACAAACUAGUGUACCAGAUCCUUGUGUGGUCCCAGGACGAACUCCUCUUGCUGAGAGCAGUCCACAUUCCUGGGCAUCUAACUUGGGAACAGACAUCCUGUCGAGGCAGGGGCUGAGGCCCGGGGAAUGA